CAGCAAUGCACUGGGCAUGGCACGCUCAGCCCCUCUGCACCUCGACCUGCAGCAGCUCGUGGUGCCCGCCGUGCCCCUGGCUGAGAGCGCAGAGACGACGGCGGGGUCACCUCCCACCACCACCAUCCGUUGGCGACAGCAGACAGAACUGCAGGACGUGCGCUGCGAGGAGCGGCACAAGGCAGUGGGUGCUGCGGAGUGGCAUGUGACAGCAUGGGACAGUGCAGUGCAGCGUGGACACCAGCUUCAGAGUGCCACCCGCUACGUGUUCCAGGCACGGUGCCGGCUCAGCGCUGCAGGCAGCCCCUGGAGUGCUUGGGGCCUGCCCUUCACCUACAGCACACCCGAGGCUGGUAAGUGGUGGGAGGGCAUUGCCGGGCCACGCUGUGC
This 390-nucleotide long non-coding RNA is filed under the name Gallus gallus (chicken). RNAcentral describes it as "long non-coding RNA NONGGAT009083". Lineage: Eukaryota; Metazoa; Chordata; Aves; Galliformes; Phasianidae. The record is from RNAcentral.